CUGCCCCUGGAACUGAAACGCAUCCAACAAUCUUGCUAACAUAGACAGAAAGAAAGAACGGACGCAAACCAUCAAGUGUAACUGCCUCUCCUCUCCACAUUUUCGGGACCUGAUAGCAAACGCGCACAAAAUCCGCAAAGGACCGGCCUUGCACUGCAUAAACAGGUGCCUUUCCAGCCCCCUUUCCGCAAUGGCUUGGACCUUCCGCUCCUUCCGCUUCUCUCCUCUCUACUCUGCAGGUGGCAUCACACCGAGUGGCCAAAACCGAGAGACGGGAAAAUGGAUACAGGGAUCCAUAUUUGGUAGCACAAAGAGAAGAGAUUUUGGGGUCUCACAGUAACUUCCAGCAGACAGUGUGGUGUGUUACCCAUCCCCCUUCAGCAACAAUGAAUUCAUUCCGUA
This 402-nucleotide long non-coding RNA is filed under the name Mustela putorius furo (domestic ferret). Its description in RNAcentral is "lncRNA (ENSMPUG00000024606.1)". The record is from RNAcentral. Lineage: Eukaryota; Metazoa; Chordata; Mammalia; Carnivora; Mustelidae.